GAUGAACGCUGGCGGCGUGCCUAAUACAUGCAAGUCGAGCGAACGGACGAGAAGCUUGCUUUUCUGAUGUUAGCGGCGGACGGGUGAGUAACACGUGGAUAACCUACCUAUAAGACUGGGAUAACUUCGGGAAACCGGAGCUAAUACCGGAUAAUAUAUUGAACCGCAUGGUUCAAUAGUGAAAGACGGUUUUGCUGUCACUUAUAGAUGGAUCCGCGCCGCAUUAGCUAGUUGGUAAGGUAACGGCUUACCGAGGCGACGAUGCGUAGCCGACCUGAGAGGGUGAUCGGCCACACUGGAACUGAGACACGGUCCAGACUCCUACGGGAGGCAGCAGUAGGGAAUCUUCCGCAAUGGGCGAAAGCCUGACGGAGCAACGCCGCGUGAGUGAUGAAGGUCUUCGGAUCGUAAAACUCUGUUAUUAGGGAAGAACAAAUGUGUAAGUAACUAUGCACGUCUUGACGGUACCUAAUCAGAAAGCCACGGCUAACUACGUG
This 497-nucleotide ribosomal RNA is filed under the name uncultured bacterium. RNAcentral describes it as "partial 16S ribosomal RNA". It matches the Rfam family "Bacterial small subunit ribosomal RNA", at positions 28 to 507 of the family's 1533-position model. The record is from RNAcentral.